GACUAUUCCUUUAACCAUUAACUUCCAUAGUAGGAAUAAAAACAACAUAAUGGGAUUAAAUGGAUUGUGUGCUUACCAUCAUUUAUCAAAAUAUCUUCUUUUGUGUUUAUUAAAAUAAAAUACAGGUUACGACCAACAUAUGGGUGAGUAAAUGAUGACAGAAUUUUAAUUUUUGAGUGAAUCCCUUUUACAGACAGUAAAUCAGAUGUAAGAAAUACAGUAGAAAGAUUUAAAAUUCACCCUUAUUAUGUCUACAUAUAAUGCGAUAAAAAGAUUCAUUUAUGCUUUCUUGAUACAUGAUUACACGUCAUUUUCUUUUAUGGACUAUGGACCCCCUAAAGUACCUUUGGCCACACCCUGGCCACCCCAUUAAAAAAAUUCUAGUUCUGCCACUGGGUGGCUAAGAACGAUGACGUUGAGGUCGUGCGUCAGUUUGAGGUGUAGUUCAGUAAUGGCAGCGGAGAAAGACGUGAGAAAAGCUAAUCGGUCCGUUGUUGCAAAACUGCCGAAUAUACAGAAGUUAAAGCCGGAGCAAGAACCAGGUUUGCUAACUUUUAUUUGUCUGAUUAUUCUGACUUGUUGUUUCCGGACGGUUUCGGUGCAUGAUAUACGUCACGACCACAUGUUAGCGAUUGGCUUUGGCAGUCCUGAGUGACUCUGGGUAGAUCCAAUAGUUUUAAACUUCAACAAUGGACCCUCCUUAACGGAAGUAACGCUUUGCUAUGGAGCGUGGCCAGACUCUCUGUACAAAUGAAAUGAAUGUACGAGAUAGUCUGGUUAUACCAGGUUAAUGAUUACGUCCAGGAAAUGGGAUAUUUAUCUUUUACUUCUCAGCGUGAGAAAUACAAGGUGUGGAGUGUGAGUGUGUGAACUUACUGAAAUGUGUGUUUCUCACGGUCAAUGCGUGAGAGAGCCCUGUGUAUAUUAAUAGGGUUACUGACUAAAAAAUAGUGACUAAACACGACCCAAUAACACGACCCUCGUGACAAAAUCACCAUACAUUUACAUUUAAAAGCUGAUAUAACAUUACGAGGUGAUUUUGGCUACAUUACGUGUCUCAUGCAGUAGCUUUACCGUUGCUCUUCUCGUCUGGUUGUGUUAUAAACGCUUUUAAAAGUAUUAUUGUAGAUUGCGUAUAUAUAAAAUACGAGAAUAAACACUGCCAACUUUUUUCUUUCCCUCAAGUGCCAUGUGUGAGAGCCUGAGGCGCUGUCGAGUGCUGCACGAUGCAGCAUGAGAGAAAGCACGCGCACACGAGAGAGGCGCCGCUGAGUGCUCGACACAAUGAAUAAAGCCGUUUUAAUACAUAAAGAAAAUGUAUGACAAUGUAUAACAAAAAUAUAACAAUGUAUGGGAAACACUGGAUGAUGAGUCUGACAUGAAAUUUAAGGUCCCAUAUGAAAUUUAAGACCUCCUUAGUGGAAAUUCCAGAUUUUAAGGCAUUUUCAGACCUUAAAAAUCCAAAAUUUUAUUUAUGACAUUUCAAGACUUUUUAAGGACCCGCGGGGACCCUGUACAAUAUAAACUUUACCUGUUAUAAAAUAAAUAAAUUACAAUAUGAACACACAAAACUUCAAUUUUCAAAAUGUUUUUAACAGUAAAUUAUGAUUAUUUUAGUCUCUUACCUGUUUGUGUUGUUAGUCUGUAGGUGGUUCAGCAGGACUGAUGAUUCAGGGCUUUCACAGGUGAAAAUAAUCAGGAGGCAGUUUGAAAAUAAUUGACUAUAUUUAAAAUCAAGAAAGGCAGGAACUGAAGAACCCUUUUUGUCAAGACAAAGAACCAUAUCGGCAAAAAAAUAGUUCUUCAGUAAGCUAUGGUUCUAUAUAGAACCUUCACCAUCAUUUCAGAACCUUUGAAGAACCAUAUUUCUUAAGAGUGUAGCUUUAACGGAACUUAUUAAAGAAAUGAAACUGUAAACCCCAGUGUUGCCCUUACUAAUUAAUUCAAGUUAUCACAACUUGAUAUUACUUAAAAUAUGAAGUUUUAGCAUCAGAACUUAAACAGAUGUGUUUAUUGUACUCAUUUAGCAACAAAAAUCGUUUGAAUUAAAAUGUUAAGUGCUAUCAACUUAAAUUAUUAAGUUAAUAAUUUGCUGUAGCUGUGUAAUUUAAUUGGUCAUGAAAAUCCGCAUUCAGCGUUGAUUGGUCAAUUCUUGACGCAGCAGCAAGCCUGACUGAAGCAAAAGAAGAGCCUGGACUAAAACUGGGUAAGUACAGAGAAUAAAACGCAUAUAUAAACUUUUCUCAACUGCUUUUACAUGAUUUAUUUUGAUGUUAUUUGCAAUGUAUACACCUGUACUGUUUUACGUUGGCAGCAACAUUAAAGGCUAGUCGUCCCAUAACGCAGUCAGUCAAGAUAUUCGUUGAGAGACACAGUAUGCUGGUAGGUUGCUAAAUAAUACUUGUGUAAAUUAUUCUUAGUUUUAUUUUAUAGUGGCCAUUUUAAAUAAGUUUAUGUUGCUAACUUUCCAUCAGAACAAUUGAAUUUGCCGCUCAAGUUUAACAAACAACGUUUCUUCCACAGCAGCACAUGCAUCAACUAAAUAAUACUUGUUUAAAUUAUACUUAGUUGGCUUUUACAGUGAUUGGUAGAUUAUAAACACACAUAAGUUCCUAACUUUAAGAACAUCUGAAUUUCCCGCUUAUGUUCACGUUUUCCUCACACAGGCUCAAGCAUGCGGGGAUCCGAUGGAGAGACAUAUUGGACAAACACUGCGCAGCCAGCUGUCAGGUGGGGAUCCGGUGAAGAGAGUCGGUGAUCAUCAUGAUAAAUGCCCCUGAAGUACCCAGAUGAUCAGUGGGGAUUCUAAUAGUUGAAGAUGGGAUGACUCUGCAGCCCCUCAGCAGUCUGCAUUUGUAUAGUAUAGUAAUUGAAGGGAAAAUGGUGAUUGACAAUCUAUGUGACUGAGUCACUGAGGUACACAUUUGAAUUAUUCAGCGCCUUCUACUUUCCAUAGGACAAAAAGACCUGCACCCUAAAUACAAACCUUGGCAAACCAGCUGUUUGGUUAAAUUAAAUGUAAUAGACAGAUUUACAUGUUAAAGAUUGUUAAUGUGUCUUUUUAAAAUGGGACCAUUGAAAAUAUGAGCUUACUGUAGUGAGCAUGGUUUCUGUAAAAAAUUAAAUUGAUAGUUCACUGAAAAAUAAAAAUUCUGUCAUCAUUUACUGACUCUCAUAUUGUU
This is a long non-coding RNA of Paramisgurnus dabryanus, 3182 nucleotides long. RefSeq lists it as uncharacterized. The record is from RefSeq and is a predicted model, not a curated record. Lineage: Eukaryota; Metazoa; Chordata; Actinopteri; Cypriniformes; Cobitidae.